Molecule: ribosomal RNA, 253 nt
Filed under: uncultured bacterium
Lineage: Bacteria
Description: partial 16S ribosomal RNA
Rfam family: Bacterial small subunit ribosomal RNA
Source: RNAcentral
UACGAAGGGGGCUAGCGUUGUUCGGAAUUACUGGGCGUAAAGGGCGCGUAGGUGGUUCUGUAUGUCUAUCGUGAAAGCGUACGGCUCAACCGUAUUUUGUCGGUAGAAACUGCAGGACUUGAGGCUGGGAGGGGCUGGUGGAAUUCCCUGUGUAGCGGUGAAAUGCGUAGAGAUGGGGGAGAACACUCGUGGCGAAGGCGGCCAGCUAGACCAGUUCUGACACUGAGGCGCGACAGCGUGGGGAGCAAACAGG